GAGGGAGGCUGCGGACCAGUGCGGGGAGGAGUUUACGAGGGGAGGCGCUUGCAGGGGCUCCCCCAGUUCUGUUGAGAGCCGGGCACAAAGAGCCCUCUGCACUCCAGCCGCAGGAGCGAGGAGCCGAGAGCUAGGUGCACAUGGGCGUGGGGACCCAGUACACACCAACCCACAGGUUAGCAGACCUGGGGCGUCCAGUGCAGCUUCAAACCGAAUGCAUCUCCGCACCCUCAUUGCGACAUCGCUCUCGAUGGUGACUGCACAUCCUCGGGGAGGCACCGCUUUGGCACCACAGCCCCGCCAGGUGGGUCCCACUCUGCUGACCAGGAUGGCCUGGAGCUCACAGAGGUCCAUCUGCUUCUGCCUCCCAAGAGCUGGGAUUAAAGGCCUGGGCCUGCACCUCCAUACCUGGCUGUGAGGCCUGUCUGUUCACAUGCACAUGGCUGCCGGGUCUCGGUGGCACCUGGGGACGAAGCAAGUUUUCAUCUGCGUGGAUGCGGGUGGCAGAGGCCAACAGCUUCAUCCACUUGGCUCUGUCUUGAUGCUCACGGGGACUGAGCCUUCUGAACCUCAAGAGUUCCUGCUGGUUCCCAGGUCUCAGAAGAGAGUAGGGGAUUGGGAAGGGCCACAGCCACCCUGCGAAGCAGCCUUGCAGAUAAGUAUCCCUUCACCAGCCCCCUCUGCACCAGCCUGCUUUCUGCUGGUGCACCUGUGAAGGGGGGUUGGCUCUGGAACCCCCAAGAGGGAGGGUGGAUGUCUGGCUCUUGAGGGUGGCAUUUGUAAACUUGGACAGACUCCUUGGUCUUGCAGACACACGGAGACCUUCUGCAGGGUUUCCCACGGGACACACUGUCUCCACUCAGCUCCAGGCUCCUGUGACAGCCGGCUCUAAGAGCGUCCUCCCCUUCCCUGACUCAGGCUCUGGGGGACAGAUGUAGUAUAAUUGACAGGAAAGAGCAAAUCUGAGUGCUGGCUUGAGAUUCGGGGCAUCUCCUCCAUCCUGGUGACUUACAGUGCCCUGGCUGAGCCCUGUACCUCCCGCCCUCUGGCUCCAGACAUGUUCUCUGCUGUGGGAGUCACGAAAGGGUGGGGACUAAGAUGAUUAGAAGAGCUGCUUUCUUUUCCAAGCCACUGCCUUGAGUGGCCCUUGUGUGACAGGGCAGGAUGUGUCCCUGGGUCCAGACAGAGGCAUAGGCUUCCAGUGACCUCAGUAGUACUGAGGUCAGAGCUCCAGACCCCUACUCUGUCAGGACUCCCCUCUCGGCUGUCCCUAAGCUGCCCAGCUUGCUCUGAGUUUUCCUGGGUCACCAAGGAAACCACCAUGUGCCCAUGUUUGUGAAGGAUGCUCUGGGUAGCAGGGAAGGAGGAGGAGGCAGGGUGGCUCUUGGGCCAAAGCAGGGCUUGGGUGUGGUCCUCUCCUGUGCCGGGGUUGGCUCUUCUGUCUUCCAGAGUCAUCCUGUGAUGUCUGUGUGUGGGAGGAGCUAGGAGCUAGGCCUGCGAUGAUGUCAGGAGAUGCUGGGUGUCCAGAGGUGAAUGACAGAGACAUGGUGCUACCCUCUGAGGUCUUCAAGUAAGAAAACGCAUCACCACAGCUCAGCGAGUGGAUAGUUCUGCGUGUCUCCAGACCUUGGUCUGCUUUGGAGCCCUGGGGAUCCCCUGGAUUCUGACCUCAUGGAACUGGGGAACAACCUGUCUCCCUGAAGAUCCUGUCCUUGCCAGUGCCAGAGAUGGAGCCCCCUGGAGAAGAGCCACACCUUGAAGAUAGAUAACACUGCUUAGCAUCCAUCCACCCUGUUUUUGAUGGACAGAUGCAGGGUGGCAGAGGCUGCAGUGUAGAGUCCUGGGGCAUUGGAGGCCUCUCCUGAUCCCAUGUGGACUGGAAUCCUCCUCCAGUGUCUGGAGGUGGGGUGGAGCCCCACCUGAGCCCCUUCCUAAGGACCUGUGGGUAGGGCAGGGACUCCAUGGGCAUGGAGGAGGAGGAGGAGCUGGGGAGGAGCC
This is a non-coding RNA of Peromyscus maniculatus bairdii (prairie deer mouse), 1998 nucleotides long. Lineage: Eukaryota; Metazoa; Chordata; Mammalia; Rodentia; Cricetidae. The record is from RefSeq and is a predicted model, not a curated record.